CGUAGAAAAAAGAGAGUAUAGUCAUAUACUUACUCAUAUUACUGUCACAUUUCCUCUCUGCUGGAAAGAGGACGAAUUUUCCUGCUGAGUUCAAUUUGAUAAUCGCUUAAGUCAUCUGCUCAUGUUACCGUUAACUUCUCAAUUAUCUUGCAGGUCAGUUUUGUUCCUCAAGUUGCCAGAAUUAUUGUUGAACUUUCUUGGUGGUUUAUUGCAUGAACAACAUUGAUGAGCAACCUGUUGCAGAAAGAAAGUUAUUUUGUUUGAAGGGCUUCUUUGGCCACGCAGUUGAGGAAAUAAUCACUGUUAGCAGUUGGCCGAGCUGCAGAUUCAUGAGAGAGCCAUAAGUCUUGGCAAGUUAAAUGUGUGGUUCCUAGGCUGUAGAGGUACCGAAAGAUGCGUAGAGUGGGAGGAUGUUGUGGUAGUCUCUUUGGAUUUGCUACGUUUUGUUUCCUCACGGCUGAAAGCAGGAGGUGAUUAAAAUUCAUGCUAGUAGAAGAAACAGCACAAAGCUCAGACAUGAAGAAGUGGAAUAGCAUGGAGUGGCUGAGCUUUGUCCAACGUGAGCCCAAACUUCGAUUCCAUAUCCAUCUUCUCUGGUGGAAUAUCUCCUGCCAGCUUCCAAUCAAACCCGUGAAUCAGUGAUCCCAACAUUAAAUGGAUCAUUCGAAUCGCCAAUGGCAACCCAGGACAAAUUCUCCGGCCAGCACCGAAUGGAAUCAGCUCAAAAUCAUGACCUUUUACGUCAAUUUCCAAUCCUAAAAAUCUUUCUGGCUCAAAUAAGUUUGGGUUCUCCCACAGGUCCGGAUCUCUCCCAAUUGCCCAUACAUUGACCAUUACUUGUGCAUUUUUUGGCACUGUAAAACCCAUUAGCUUCACAUCUGAAUCAGGUUGUCGUGGCAGGAGAAGUGGUACUGCUGGGUAUAGCCUUAAGGUUUCCUUGACAAUAGCCUGCAAAUAUGGGAGCUGUGGAAUGUCAGUCUCUUCAAUUGUUUUUCCUUUCCCUAUGAUUUCGUGGAGCUCUGCUUGUGAUUUUUUCAGCUUUUCUGGGUUGUGGAGUAAUUCUGCCAUUGCCCAUUCUAAAGUGCUCGAUGUUGUGUCAGUUCCUGCACCAAAUAGGUCCUGCGGGGAAGACAUGUCAUGUUUUCUUUUAAAAGCAAUGCAGGGAACAAAAUUGAUAAUAUGUCAAAAGUGAAGUUGACUACCAGUAACAGAUGAGGUAUUUUUGAUACUUCUAUUUCUUCAGAAUCUGUUUGAUUGAUGCCUAGUAAGCCAUCCAAAAAAUCAUCCCCUGGUAAUGAUUCUAAUGGUCUCUUGCCCUGCAACCGUGGUUCAAUUAUGGUGUUGAAUAGAUCAAUCAUCUUACCAAAGUGUAUACUUGUACGCCGUCUGAUGCCUUGUGGGUCUAUCUUCUUCAAUAGAGGGAAAUAAUCAGCAAAGUUGGGUUUUCCCAAUUCUCCCAGUGCACCUCGCACAGUCUUUCUAAAUUCAGAAGCAUAUUUGGUACAGGGGUCACCCAAAUCCAGUGAAAAGAAAGUGCUUGAUAACAUAUUCAGCGUUGUAGUGAAUGCUACUUGACCAAUGUCCACCGAUAAACCAUCUUCGCUUCGUUUUUGGAUGUAGGCAAGGAGAUCCCUCAUUUUUUCUUUUCGCUGAUUUUGGCUCAUCUCAAGCUUACUGGCUGAAAAUACUCUUAAAUUGCAGAUUUUUCGAAGCUUUCGCCAUUCUGGGGAAACUGGCAAAAAGGACAGUGAACUUUUGUGGUGAUCAAGUGCACGAACAGCAUCAAUGACCAACCUGUUAGACAAAUAAAGAUCUUGUUUUUGAAGGGCUUCUCUGGCCAUGACAGAUGAGGAAAUGAUCACUGCUGGCACUUGGCCGAGCUGCAGAGUCAUGAGUGGGCCAUAAGUCUUGGCAAGUUCAGUCAAAGAGAUGUGUGGGUUUUUGCCGAGGCUAAAGAGGUUCCCAAAGAUGGGUAUAGUGGGUGGACCUGGUGGUAGUCUCCUUGGGUUUGAUUCAUCAUCUUUCCUCCUUACAUUUGAAAGGAAGAGAUGGAUUACAAUCCAUGCUAGUAGAAGACACAACACAAAACUCAGUUUUUCAGAUAUGCUUCAAUGGAAGAAUCAAUAAUUUGUGGCGUGUUGCGAAAACAGUGGAAUGACAAAUUUCACUGUUAAGCACAGUGAAGUCUACUGACAUGCAUUUAAUGCAUGGGUGAGUUUUUCUUGCCGAUUGCUGCAAUUGUUGAUUUCUGUAAAGUGAAGUCCACUGACAUGCAUUUAAUGCAUGGGUGAGUUUUUCUUGCGGAUUGCUGCAAUUGUUGAUUUCUGUAAAAUACACAGUAAAGUUUAUAUCUAUAAAUACUGUCAUUUGUAAGAAGUUAAUACACUCAAUUCAUAUACAAUACUCUUCUGAUAAAUUCCUUUCAGUAACAUUCCUUCUAUAUAUAUUUCUCACAACACGUUAUCAGCA
Molecule: long non-coding RNA, 2469 nt
Organism: Beta vulgaris subsp. vulgaris (sugar beet)
Lineage: Eukaryota; Viridiplantae; Streptophyta; Magnoliopsida; Caryophyllales; Amaranthaceae
Exons: 6
Source: RefSeq, a predicted model, not a curated record